CACGUAGGGCGCAAGCGUUGUCCGGAAUUAUUGGGCGUAAAAGAGCUCGUAGGCGGUCUGUUGCGUCCGCUGUGAAAAACCCGGGGGCUUAACCCCCUGGCUUGCAGUGGAUACGGACAGACUAGAGGUAGGUAGGGGGGAGAAUGGAAAUUCCGGGGUGGAGCGGUGAAAAAUGCGUAGAGAUCCGGAGGAACACCGACGGCGUAGGCAGCGCCCCUAGACGAGACCUGACGCUUCAGG
Molecule: ribosomal RNA, 240 nt
Filed under: uncultured bacterium
Lineage: Bacteria
Description: partial 16S ribosomal RNA
Rfam family: Bacterial small subunit ribosomal RNA
Source: RNAcentral